Molecule: long non-coding RNA, 1136 nt
Filed under: Monodelphis domestica (gray short-tailed opossum)
Lineage: Eukaryota; Metazoa; Chordata; Mammalia; Didelphimorphia; Didelphidae
Description: lncRNA (ENSMODG00000050247.1)
Source: RNAcentral
AAAUAUGGUCUCAGAUACUUCCCAGCUGUGUGACCCUGGGCAAAUCACAACUCCCAUUGCCUAGCCUUUACCACUCUUCUGCCUUGGAACCAAUAUAUAGUACUGAUUCUAAGGCAGAAGGUAAGGGUUUAAAAAAAUGUUCUAUAAAUCCUGAGUCUUCUGAGGGCUAGGGAUGAAGCUUUGUAAUUGGUUGGAUUUUCUGGGUUUGGUCUGCCAACAUAUAUAUUUUUAAGUCUCUAAUGGUCUUCUAUAAAGGUUGAAAGGAUGUCCCCUUCAUUGCCUAGGUUUUGUUUGCAGUCUGUUAUCUGGCCCCAGUAAAUUUGAGGAGAGCAUUGCCCCUCAAUUCCCUCUCCACCAUCCUCCCCAAAUCAGGAGAUCUUGGCACAUCAUUUGACUAUUUUGCAGAUCUGUGAAAGACUGACAGCCAACAAACAUUUAUUAAGUACCUACUAUGUGCCAGACUCUAUACUAACCAUUGGGGAUUCAAAGAAAGGUAUGAAGAGUGAAUAAAACUCUUUUUGUCUGUCAAUAAGCAACUUUUAAGUUAAUCAAUCAUAAACUUAAGUACCCCUACUUCUACCUUACUUGACAACAAAAAAGAGUUCCCAAGACACUUACUAGAUUAAGCUCAUGCCCUCCCUGGGCAGUGCUAGGUAAAUUGAAAGACUGUGAUUGGUUCAUAUAAAGUGGGAGAGCAACAGGAAGUGAUAUCAAGAAAACUGCUUUUAAAAAGCCAGCUUAAUGAUUCAGUCAUUCUCUCUGCGUGAGCCAGUCUAGAGGAGGAGACUUUUCCCCUGGAUCCUGUGUAGGGUUUCUGGGUGAGUAGCUGGCCUUCCUUUCCUGGCUUUUGGAGAGAUUGGUUCCAGAGAUUCCUGCCUUGGCUUUGGAGGAGGCUGCAUUGGUGGAACCCUGGCUGAAGAGAGGACUUCUGACUGAGGAUUACCUGGAAAAUCCACAUAGAGAUUCAAACGUGGAGAAGCCCUGCUGAGACUGAGCCUGGCUUCUCAGGAGAAGGGCUGGUAGACUUAUUAUCUACAUUUUUCCACUUUUGCUCUUUCCACCUCUUUUUAAAUAAAGCUGCUAUAGAGAAGAAAAAGGAAGGAAGGAGAGAGAGAAGAAGAGGGAGGAGUGGGGAG